Molecule: ribosomal RNA, 745 nt
Filed under: Bacillus subtilis
Lineage: Bacteria; Bacillati; Bacillota; Bacilli; Caryophanales; Bacillaceae
Description: bacterial SSU rRNA
Rfam family: Bacterial small subunit ribosomal RNA
Source: RNAcentral
GAGUUGAUCCUGGNUCAGACGAACGCUGGCGGCGUGCNUAAUACAUNCAGUCGAGCGGACAGAUGGGAGCUUGCUCCCUGAUNUUAGCGGCGGACGGGUGAGUAACACGUGGGUAACCUGCCUGUAAGACUGGGAUAACUCCGGGAAANCCGGGGCUAAUACCGGAUGGUUGUUUGAACCGCAUGGUUCAAACAUAAAAGGUGGCUUCGGCUACCACUUACAGAUGGACCCGCGGCGCAUUAGCUAGUUGGUGAGGUAACGGCUCACCAAGGCAACGAUGCGUAGCCGACCUGAGAGGGUGAUCGGCCACACUGGGACUGAGACACGGCCCAGACUCCUACGGGAGGCAGCAGUAGGGAAUCUUCCGCAAUGGACGAAAGUCUGACGGAGCAACGCCGCGUGAGUGAUGAAGGUUUUCGGAUCGUAAAGCUCUGUUGUUAGGGAAGAACAAGUACCGUUCGAAUAGGGCGGUACCUUGACGGUACCUAACCAGAAAGCCACGGCUAACUACGUGCCAGCAGCCGCGGUAAUACGUAGGUGGCAAGCGUUGUCCGGAAUUAUUGGGCGUAAAGGGCUCGCAGGCGGUUUCUUAAGUCUGAUGUGAAAGCCCCCGGCUCAACCGGGGAGGGUCAUUGGAAACUGGGGAACUUGAGUGCAGAAGAGGAGAGUGGAAUUCCCCGUUGUANCCGGUGAAAAUGCGUAAAGAUGUGGAGGAACACCCAGUUGGCGAAAGGCGACUCUCUGG